RNAcentral lists this ribosomal RNA (449 nucleotides) under uncultured bacterium. Its description in RNAcentral is "partial 16S ribosomal RNA". It matches the Rfam family "Bacterial small subunit ribosomal RNA", at positions 29 to 523 of the family's 1533-position model. The record is from RNAcentral.
AACGAACGCUGGCGGCAUGCCUAACACAUGCAAGUCGAACGAGAUCUUCGGGUCUAGUGGCGCACGGGUGCGUAACGCGUGGGAAUCUGCCCUUUGGUUCGGAAUAACAGUUGGAAACGACUGCUACUACCGGCUGAUGACGAAAGUCCAAAGAUUUAUCGCCAGAGGAUGAGCCCGCGUAGGAUUAGCUAGUUGGUGUGGUAAAGGCGCACCAAGGCGACGAUCCUUAGCUGGUCUGAGAGGAUGAUCAGCCACACUGGGACUGAGACACGGCCCAGACUCCUACGGGAGGCAGCAGUGGGGAAUAUUGGACAAUGGGCGAAAGCCUGAUCCAGCAAUGCCGCGUGAGUGAUGAAGGCCUUAGGGUUGUAAAGCUCUUUUACCCGGGAUGAUAAUGACAGUACCGGGAGAAUAAGCUCCGGCUAACUCCGUGCCAGCAGCCGCGGUAA